Molecule: transfer RNA, 72 nt
Filed under: Camelus bactrianus (Bactrian camel)
Lineage: Eukaryota; Metazoa; Chordata; Mammalia; Artiodactyla; Camelidae
Also listed under: 2 other names
Rfam family: tRNA
About the family: Transfer RNA (tRNA) molecules are approximately 80 nucleotides in length. Their secondary structure includes four short double-helical elements and three loops (D, anti-codon, and T loops).
Source: Rfam by way of RNAcentral
GAGGGUAAAACUCAGUGGUAGAGCACAUGCUCAGCAUGCCUGAGGUCCUGGGUUCAAUCCCCAGUACCUCCA